GGACCAAGGAGUCUAGCAUGUGCGCGAGUCAUUGGGAUCUUACGAUACCUAAAGGCGCAAUGAAAGUAAAGGUUCGCCUUGCGCGGACAGAGGGAGGAUGGGUGAGGGUCCAGGCCCUCGCCCCGCACUCCCGGGGCGUCUCGUUCUCAUUGCGAGAUGAGGCGCACCAAGAGCGUACACGCUGGGACCCGAAAGAUGGUGAACUAUGCCUGGUCAGGACGAAGUCAGGGGAAACCCUGAUGGAGGUCCGUAGCGAUUCUGACGUGCAAAUCGAUCGUCGGAACUGGGUAUAGGGGCGAAAGACUAAUCGAACCAUCUAGUAGCUGGUUCCCUCCGAAGUUUCCCUCAGGAUAGCUGGUGCUCGUUUCUUACGAGUUUCAUCCGGUAAAGCGAAUGAUUAGAGGCAUUGGGGUCGAAACGGCCUCAACCUAUUCUCAAACUUUAAAUGGGUGAGAUCUCCGGCUUGCUCGAACUAUAACUGAAGCCGCGAGAAUCGAAUCAGAGUGCCAAGUGGGCCAUUUUUGGUAAGCAGAACUGGCGCUGUGGGAUGAACCAAACGCCGAGUUAAAGCGCCUAAAUCGACGCUUAUGGGAUACCAUGAAAGGCGUUGGUAACUUAAGACAUCAGGACGGUGGCCAUGGAAGUCGGA
RNAcentral lists this ribosomal RNA (649 nucleotides) under Orchesia undulata. Its description in RNAcentral is "eukaryotic LSU rRNA". It matches the Rfam family "Eukaryotic large subunit ribosomal RNA", at positions 663 to 1265 of the family's 3401-position model. The record is from RNAcentral. Lineage: Eukaryota; Metazoa; Arthropoda; Insecta; Coleoptera; Melandryidae.